Molecule: ribosomal RNA, 1082 nt
Filed under: Fusarium lateritium
Lineage: Eukaryota; Fungi; Ascomycota; Sordariomycetes; Hypocreales; Nectriaceae
Description: eukaryotic LSU rRNA
Rfam family: Eukaryotic large subunit ribosomal RNA (bases 485-1082)
Source: RNAcentral
AGGGACAUUACCGAGUUUACAACUCCCAAACCCCUGUGAACAUACCUUAAUGUUGCCUCGGCGGAUCAGCCCGCGCCCCGUAAAACGGGACGGCCCGCCAGAGGACCCAAACUCUAAUGUUUCUUAUUGUAACUUCUGAGUAAAACAAACAAAUAAAUCAAAACUUUCAACAACGGAUCUCUUGGUUCUGGCAUCGAUGAAGAACGCAGCAAAAUGCGAUAAGUAAUGUGAAUUGCAGAAUUCAGUGAAUCAUCGAAUCUUUGAACGCACAUUGCGCCCGCUGGUAUUCCGGCGGGCAUGCCUGUUCGAGCGUCAUUUCAACCCUCAAGCCCCCGGGUUUGGUGUUGGGGAUCGGCUCUGCCUCACGGCGGUGCCGCCCCCGAAAUACAUUGGCGGUCUCGCUGCAGCCUCCAUUGCGUAGUAGCUAACACCUCGCAACUGGAACGCGGCGCGGCCAUGCCGUAAAACCCCAACUUCUGAAUGUUGACCUCGGAUCAGGUAGGAAUACCCGCUGAACUUAAGCAUAUCAAUAAGCGGAGGAAAAGAAACCAACAGGGAUUGCCCUAGUAACGGCGAGUGAAGCGGCAACAGCUCAAAUUUGAAAUCUGGCUCUCGGGCCCGAGUUGUAAUUUGUAGAGGAUACUUUUGAUGCGGUGCCUUCCGAGUUCCCUGGAACGGGACGCCAUAGAGGGUGAGAGCCCCGUCUGGUUGGAUGCCAAAUCUCUGUAAAGUUCCUUCGACGAGUCGAGUAGUUUGGGAAUGCUGCUCUAAAUGGGAGGUAUAUGUCUUCUAAAGCUAAAUAUUGGCCAGAGACCGAUAGCGCACAAGUAGAGUGAUCGAAAGAUGAAAAGCACUUUGAAAAGAGAGUUAAAAAGUACGUGAAAUUGUUGAAAGGGAAGCGUUUAUGACCAGACUUGGACUUGGUUAAUCAUCUGGGGUUCUCCCCAGUGCACUUUUCCAGUUCAGGCCAGCAUCAGUUUUCGCCGGGGGAUAAAGGCAGCGGGAAUGUGGCUCUCUUCGGGGAGUGUUAUAGCCCGUUGUGUAAUACCCUGGUGGGGACUGAGGUUCGCGCUUCUGCAAGG